RNAcentral lists this ribosomal RNA (459 nucleotides) under uncultured bacterium. Its description in RNAcentral is "bacterial SSU rRNA". It matches the Rfam family "Bacterial small subunit ribosomal RNA", at positions 30 to 534 of the family's 1533-position model. The record is from RNAcentral.
AUUGAACGCUGGCGGCAUGCCUAACACAUGCAAGUCGAACGAGAUCUUCGGGUCUAGUGGCGCACGGGUGCGUAACGCGUGGGAAUCUGCCCUUGGGUUCGAAAUAACUUCGGGAAACUGAAGCUAAUACCGGAUGAUGACGUAAGUCCAAAGAUUUAUCGCCCAAGGAUGAGCCCGCGUAGGAUUAGCUAGUUGGUGAGGUAAAGGCUCACCAAGGCGACGAUCCAUAGCUGGUCUGAGAGGAUGAUCAGCCACACUGGGACUGAGACACGGCCCAGACUCCUACGGGAGGCAGCAGUGGGGAAUAUUGGACAAUGGGCGAAAGCCUGAUCCAGCAAUGCCGCGUGAGUGAUGAAGGCCUUAGGGUUGUAAAGCUCUUUACCCGGGAUGAUAAUGACAGUACCGGGAGAAUAAGCUCCGGCUAACUCCGUGCCAGCAGCCGCGGUAAAGUGACUACUG